UAUACCAGGUAGUAACAGGGUUUGAUCCUGGAACUCAGAUUGAACGCUGGCGGGAUGUUUACACAUGCAAGUCGAACGGCAGCACGGACUUCGGUCUGGUAAGAGUGGCGAACGGGUGAGUAAUGUAUCGGAACGUGCCUAGUAGCGGGGAUAACUACGCGAAAGCGUAGCUAUUACCGUACACGCCCUUCGGGGAAAGGGGGACUCCGGCCUUUGCACUAUUAGAGCGGCCGAUAUCGGAUUAGCUAGUUGGUGGGGUAACGGCUCACCAAGGCGACGAGAUCCUGUGUUGGUCGAGGACGACCACUGACCGAGACAUUACCCAGAUCUACGGGAGGCAGCAGUGGGGAAUUUUGGACAAUGGGGAAACUCCCGAUCCAGGCCAUCCCGCGUGGUGCGAUGCUGAAGGCCUUCGGUUGUAAAGCACUUUUGGCAGGAAGAAACGGCACGGGAUAAUACCCCGUGCAACUGACGGUACCUGCAGAAUAAGCACCGGCUAACUACGUGCCGCAGCCGCGGUAAUACGUAGGGUGCAAGCGUUAAUCGGAAUGCCAUGUAAAGCGUGCAGGCGGUUCGGAAAGAAAGAUGUGAAAUCCCAGAGCUUAACUUUGGAACUGCAUUUUUAACUACCGAGCCAGAGUGUCAGAGGGAGGUGGAAUUCGCGUGUAGCAGGAAUGCAGAUGGUGGAGUACUGACCGAUGAUAGCAGCCUCCCGGGAUAACACUGACGUCGAAAAUGAAAGCGUGGGGAGCAAACAGGAUUAGAUACUCCCGGUAGUCCACGCCCAAACGAUGUCAACUAGCUGUUGGGGCCUUCGGGCCUUUGGCAGCGCAGCUAACGCGUGAAGUUGACCGCCUGGGGAGUACGGUCGCAAGAUUAAAACCAAAGGAAUUGACGGGGACCUCGCACAAGCGGUGGAUGAUGUGGAUUAAUUCGAUGCAACGCGAAAACCUUACCUACCCUUGACAUGUCUGGAAUCCCGAAGAGAUUUGGGAGUGCUCGCAAGAGAACCGGAACACAGGUGCUGCAUGGCUGUCGCCAGCUCGAAACGAGAUGUUGGGUUAAGUCCCGCAACGAGCGCAACCCUUGUCAUUAGUUGCUACGAAAGGGUGACUGACGAGACUGCCGGUGACAAACCGUGGAGGAAGGUGGGAUGACGUCAAGUCCUCAUGGCCCUUAUGGGUAGGGCUUCACACGUCAUAAUGAAGCCGGACAGAGGGUCGCCAACCCAGCGAGGGGGGAUUAACCCAGAAACCCGAUCGUAGUCCGGAUCGCAGCGCCUGCAACUCGACUGCGUGAAGUCGAAUCGCCAGUAAUCGCGGAUCAGCAUGUCGCGGUGAAUACGUUCCCGGGUCUUGUACACACCGCCCGUCACACCAUGGGAGUGGGUUUACCAAAGUAGUUAGCCUAACCGUAAGGAGGGCGAUUACCACGGUAGGAUUCAUGACUGGGGUGAAGUCGUAACAAGGUAG
RNAcentral lists this ribosomal RNA (1472 nucleotides) under uncultured Bordetella sp. RNAcentral describes it as "partial 16S-23S ribosomal RNA intergenic spacer". It matches the Rfam family "Bacterial small subunit ribosomal RNA". Lineage: Bacteria; Pseudomonadati; Pseudomonadota; Betaproteobacteria; Burkholderiales; Alcaligenaceae. The record is from RNAcentral.